RNAcentral lists this long non-coding RNA (208 nucleotides) under Brassica napus (rape). RNAcentral's name for it is "long non-coding RNA (BNAP_LNC006374)". The record is from RNAcentral. Lineage: Eukaryota; Viridiplantae; Streptophyta; Magnoliopsida; Brassicales; Brassicaceae.
UCUAGCAGUUUUAAGAGAUUUGUACGACUGGUUCUGCGGUUAGAAAUUGGUGUGUUUGCGGGAUACUUAUGACUGGUUAACUACCAAAUGUAUCAGCGGUUAAAUAAUAAAUUAACAAUAUUUACAUUUUAUACAAUUAUAAAAAUAUCAAAAAUAAUAAUAUUAUAAUAAAUACAAAAGUUAUAUUUAGAAAGUUAUAGUUUAAUUU